GAUGAAGAACGUAGCGAAAUGCGAUAAGUAAUGUGAAUUGCAGAAUUCAGUGAAUCAUCGAAUCUUUGAACGCACAUUGCGCCCGCCAGUAUUCUGGCGGGCAUGCCUGUUCGAGCGUCAUUUCAACCCUCAGGCCCCCAGUGCCUGGUGUUGGGGAUCGGCGGAAGCCCCCUGCGGGCACAACGCCGUCCCCCAAAUACAGUGGCGGUCCCGCCGCAGCUUCCAUUGCGUAGUAGCUAACACCUCGCAACUGGAGAGCGGCGCGGCCACGCCGUAAAACACCCAACUUCUGAAUGUUGACCUCGAAUCAGGUAGGAAUACCCGCUGAACUUAAGCAUAUCAAUAAGCGGAGGA
RNAcentral lists this unclassified non-coding RNA (354 nucleotides) under soil metagenome. RNAcentral's name for it is "partial contains 5.8S ribosomal RNA, internal transcribed spacer 2, and large subunit ribosomal RNA". The stretch from base 1 to 120 matches the Rfam family "5.8S ribosomal RNA", at positions 35 to 154 of the family's 154-position model. The record is from RNAcentral.